UUAGAGUUGAACAUGUGUUAACUGCAAGGUUAUUUCAAAUCACCAAAACACAUUAAAAUAGCCCCCCAAAUGGCACUUUAUUAACUAGAAUUUAAAAAGUCUACAUUGUACUAUAUUAUACAUGGAUAGCUUGGGAGUCCAAAUAUAUUUUUACAUGCUAACAAACUUUAUUCAAACUAGUGCAGGCCCCUCCUGGGGAUUUCAGUCCCCCUUGAAGGCCUUAAUUAGAAAUUCUGGCUACAUCACUGCUCAAUUCCAUUGCCAAUGAUGGUGUUAGCAUGAUUAGACAGAGUAGGUUAACAAACUAGUGUGUAUUAUGAGAUAAUCCAUUGAACACCAAUGAUCUAUCCCAACAUACAAAAUCAUCUGGUGCAGUGGUGGAUCCAGCAAAGUUUUUUUGGGGGGUGCUAACCAAUGGAGAAACGAGCGCUGAAGGCGCAAGAUUUCUAGUGUGGUCUGGGGGCAUACUACCACGGAAAAUUUUUAAAAUUUGGGUCUCUGAAAUGGCAUUUCCAGCAUUCUGAGAAAACAUUCUGGAAAAUUUUUAGAUUCUCAAAACAUUUAAAAAUUUGGAAUAUUUAAUAUUGGCUAUUCCACUAUUGUCAACUAGUGAUACCCAACUGAAUUCCUUAACAUAAGUUGGUUAGAAUUAGGAUAAACAUCAUUUUUGCACCCCCACCCCCCAUGCACCCCUGUUGACCAGAGCCUGGGGGGGGGGGUGCACACCAGAGUAAAAUAAAAAGUAAGACACAAUGUAUAACUUAAUAGGUAAGGUUAAUGGCCAGAACUAAAUGAUAAACAAUAUUUUAUAAUAAACCCAAAUUAGUUCAGCACCAUUGGUUCUUAUAACACUGUUCAUUCCAAUACUAGAACAUCAGCAAUUAACAAAAGUUGGAGUUUCAUCCGAUGACAUGUAUGCUUCUAACCAUGCUGUCCAUGCAGCUAUCAGACAGUUUUUAAUUUUCAACAUUGAUUCCCAAAGCCAUUAUUCUCAAGAUUUGCCAAAAAGGUUUUCCAAAUAAGUACAGAAUUAUAUUACAUCACUCAUCACUGUUCAUUUUACAUUCUUCAAGUAGAUGCAUGUUUACAGUACAGUAUAUCUUGUG
Molecule: non-coding RNA, 1106 nt
Organism: Paramuricea clavata
Lineage: Eukaryota; Metazoa; Cnidaria; Anthozoa; Malacalcyonacea; Plexauridae
Source: the annotation of a GenBank genome assembly